GUCUUAUUGAAUUUAAAAUAAUAAGUUUGUUCUGCCCAUUGAAUUAAAUAUUUUAAAAGGCUGCAGUAAUUUAACUGUACAAAGGUAGCAUAAUCAAUAGUUUUUUAAUUGAAAACUUGAAUGAAAGAAUUGAUAAAAUAUUAGUUGUCUCAAAUUUAAAUAAUUGAAUUUAUAUUUAAAGUUAAAAUUCUUUAAUUAAUUUAUUAGACGAUAAGACCCUAAGAAUUUUAUAAUUUAUUUAUUAUUUAUUAAAUUAGUUUAAUUUAAAAUUUAUAAUUUAAUUAUUUUAUUGGGAGGGUAAUUAAAAAUUUAAACUUUAAUUAAAUUUAAACUUUGAUAAAUGAGUUUAAUGAUUAUUAUUAUAGUUAUUAGAAUAAAUUACCUUAGGGAUAACAGCGUAAUAAUUUUGGAAAGUUCAUAUUGAUAAAAUUGGUUGCGACCUCGAUGUUGAAUUAAAAUAAAAAUUAAAUGGAGAAGUUUAAGGUUUUAGUCUGUUCGACUAUUAAAAUUUUACAU
This 516-nucleotide ribosomal RNA is filed under the name Mischocyttarus consimilis. RNAcentral describes it as "partial 16S ribosomal RNA". The stretch from base 389 to 516 matches the Rfam family "Bacterial large subunit ribosomal RNA", at positions 2473 to 2601 of the family's 2925-position model. Lineage: Eukaryota; Metazoa; Arthropoda; Insecta; Hymenoptera; Vespidae. The record is from RNAcentral.